RNAcentral lists this transfer RNA (73 nucleotides) under Paramuricea clavata. It matches the Rfam family "tRNA". From Rfam's summary of the family: Transfer RNA (tRNA) molecules are approximately 80 nucleotides in length. Their secondary structure includes four short double-helical elements and three loops (D, anti-codon, and T loops). Further hydrogen bonds mediate the characteristic L-shaped molecular structure. tRNAs have two regions of fundamental functional importance: the anti-codon, which is responsible for specific mRNA codon recognition, and the 3' end, to which the tRNAs corresponding amino acid is attached (by aminoacyl-tRNA synthetases). tRNAs cope with the degeneracy of the genetic code in two manners: having more than one tRNA (with a specific anti-codon) for a particular amino acid; and 'wobble' base-pairing, i.e. permitting non-standard base-pairing at the 3rd anti-codon position. The record is from Rfam by way of RNAcentral. Lineage: Eukaryota; Metazoa; Cnidaria; Anthozoa; Malacalcyonacea; Plexauridae.
GACCGCGUAGCUCAGUUGGAAGAGCAUUGGGCUAGUAUUCCAAAGGUCUUAGGUUCGAAUCCCACCGUGGCCG